Molecule: ribosomal RNA, 323 nt
Filed under: uncultured bacterium
Lineage: Bacteria
Description: bacterial SSU rRNA
Rfam family: Bacterial small subunit ribosomal RNA
Source: RNAcentral
UUGGGAGGAAGGGCAUUAACCUAAUACGUUAGUGUUUUGACGUUACCGACAGAAUAAGCACCGGCUAACUCUGUGCCAGCAGCCGCGGUAAUACAGAGGGUGCAAGCGUUAAUCGGAAUUACUGGGCGUAAAGCGCGCGUAGGUGGUUUGUUAAGUUGGAUGUGAAAUCCCCGGGCUCAACCUGGGAACUGCAUUCAAAACUGACUGACUAGAGUAUGGUAGAGGGUGGUGGAAUUUCCUGUGUAGCGGUGAAAUGCGUAGAUAUAGGAAGGAACACCAGUGGCGAAGGCGACCACCUGGACUAAUACUGACACUGAGGUGCG